This 282-nucleotide unclassified non-coding RNA is filed under the name Hevea brasiliensis (rubber tree). The record is from RNAcentral. Lineage: Eukaryota; Viridiplantae; Streptophyta; Magnoliopsida; Malpighiales; Euphorbiaceae.
GAUUUCAUCAACUGGCUCGCGACCUUCCAGCUUCCGGAAUACGAGCUCCGUACAGUCGACGGCCAAUACGAACUGCAUUUCCACGGACCGUGGACCCACACCACGAUGUGGGAAAUUCCCGCUCUUGCGAUCAUCAAUGAACUGCGGUCGCGGCAAGCGAUGAAGGGCCAGGGGCGCUUCGUUCUCGACGUGCUCUAUGCACGCGCCAAGGCGAAACUCUGGUCCAAGGUCGAGCGGCUGCGCAAACUGGAAGGCUUGCGGCUCUCGGAUUUCGGAACGCGG